AUUGAACGCUGGCGGCAUGCCUUACACAUGCAAGUCGAACGGUAACAGGUCUUCGGCUGCUGACGAGUGGCGAACGGGUGAGUAAUACAUCGGAACGUGCCUAGUAGUGGGGGAUAACUACUCUAAAGAGUGGCUAAUACCGCAUGAGAUCUACGGAUGAAAGCAGGGGAUCGCAAGACCUUGUGCUACUAGAGCGGCCGAUGGCAGAUUAGGUAGUUGGUGGGAUAAAAGCUUACCAAGCCGUCGAUCUGUAGCUGGUCUGAGAGGACGAUCCGCCGAACUGGGACGGAGGGACGGCCCAGACCCCUGCGGGAGGCAGCAGUGGGAAAUUUUGGACAAUGGGCGCAAGCCUGAUCCAGCAAUGCCGCGUGGAGGGUGAAGGCCUUCGGGUUGUAAACUGCCUUUGUACGGAACGAAAAGCCCCGGGUUAAUACCCUGGGGUCAUGACGGUACCGUAAGAAUAAGCACCGGCUAACUACGUGCCAGCAGCCGCCGUAA
RNAcentral lists this ribosomal RNA (498 nucleotides) under uncultured bacterium. RNAcentral describes it as "partial 16S ribosomal RNA". It matches the Rfam family "Bacterial small subunit ribosomal RNA", at positions 30 to 523 of the family's 1533-position model. The record is from RNAcentral.